This is an RNA transcript of Elephantulus edwardii (Cape elephant shrew), 1278 nucleotides long. It is a transcript of the gene named cytochrome c oxidase assembly protein COX11, mitochondrial-like, with no coding region annotated. The transcript is spliced from 6 exons. The record is from RefSeq and is a predicted model, not a curated record. Lineage: Eukaryota; Metazoa; Chordata; Mammalia; Macroscelidea; Macroscelididae.
AUGCGAGAGCUGCCACUGGGGGCUGCUAAAUCGAGACAAAGGCUAGCGGGGUUUAAGAAGAUAAGGCGCACAUCCCCAACGAUGAGGAGCUUGCACGAGGAGGCAUCUCCCUCAAUACGACUCGCCUACCAGCGCCGCCACCCGAGGAGCCAGGCAGCAGCGGCAGCCGCGGGCCAACGAGACAUCGCGAGAACGAGCGGUGUCGCGAGACUUGAGCUGCGCUGGGGCCCGCGUGUCCGCCUUGCGGUCGCUAUGGGAGGUUUCCCGCUUACGGCAUGGAGGUGCUCGCUCUCCUGUGGUUGGCGGUGGGGUCACUGUGGGUCCCUUACCAGGACUGCGGGGAAGAUAGAGCCUCUUUCCAGGCGGUGGUGGAAUGGAACAGGAGGGGCUGAGAGGGGGUGGCGGCGGCUCGCGACCUGGGGACGCGCGAGGCUGGCUGGGGACCCGCUUUUGCAGCCGCCGCGGCGGCCGAAGAGCACGAACCCUUACACGCGGACUCAGCAGGAGGACUGGCGGCGGCGGAACAAGACUGUGCUCACGUACGUGACCGCGGCCGCUGUGGCCAUGUUGGGGGCGUCCUACGCCGCUGUGCCCCUCUAUCGGCUCUAUUGCCAGACCACUGGACUCGGAGGAUCUGCAGUCGCAGGCCACUUGUCAGACCAGAUUGAAACCAUGGUGCCUGUUAAGGAUCGCAUCAUUAGAAUUACCUUCAAUGCAGAUGUACACGCAAGUCUGCAGUGGAACUUUAGACCUCAGCAAACUGAAAUCUUUGUAGUGCCAGGAGAGACUGCACUAGCAUUUUACAAAGCUAAGAAUCCUACAGACAAACCAAUAAUCGGAAUUUCUACGUACAACGUUGUACCAUUUGAAGCUGGGCAAUAUUUUAAUAAAAUACAGUGCUUCUGUUUUGAAGAACAAAGGCUUAAUCCACAAGAAGAGGUAGAUAUGCCAGUGUUUUUCUACAUCGAUCCUGAGUUUGCUGAAGAUCCACGAAUGGAGAACGUAGAUCUCAUUACUCUCUCUUACACGUUUUUUGAAGCUAAAGAAGGUCACAAGUUGCCGGUUCCGGGCUAUAAUUGAAAUCGGCAACUAAAUCUUACUGCAGAAUUUUUAUUUUUAAUAAAUCAUUUAAACUUCCUUAUAGCAGAGGAGAAAUGUUCCAGUCCCGACCAGGUCUCCUCUCUCUUCCAGGCUUCAGAGCUGGACAGACGCCAGCCUUUAGAGAGUUGGCGCUUACGCUUGGCCUUUGAGCUGGGAGUCCAGUUUUGCCUGGAAUAG